AGCGAACGCUGGCGGUAUGCUUAACACAUGCAAGUCGAGCGAGAAAAUGGCUUCGGCCAUGAGUACAGCGGCGGACGGGUGAGUAAUACAUGGAUAAUCUGCCUUUGGGACUGGGACAACCCUGGGAAACUAGGGCUAAUACCGGAUAAGACUACAGAAUCUGCGGAUUCAGUGGUAAAAGGUGGCUUCGGCUAUCACCUAUAGAUGAGUCCAUGUCCCAUCAGGUAGUUGGUGAGGUAACGGCUCACAAAGCCUAAGACGGGUAGCCGACCUUAGCGGGUGAUCGGCCACACGGGGACUGAGACACGGCCCCG
Molecule: ribosomal RNA, 314 nt
Filed under: uncultured bacterium
Lineage: Bacteria
Description: bacterial SSU rRNA
Rfam family: Bacterial small subunit ribosomal RNA
Source: RNAcentral